Molecule: ribosomal RNA, 401 nt
Filed under: uncultured bacterium
Lineage: Bacteria
Description: bacterial SSU rRNA
Rfam family: Bacterial small subunit ribosomal RNA
Source: RNAcentral
GGGGAAUCUUGCACAAUGGCGGCAACCCUGAUGCAGCGACGCCGCGUGAGCGAUGAAGCCCUUCGGGGCGUAAAGCUCUUUCGACCGGAACGAUAAUGACGGUACCGGGAGAAGAAGCUGCGGCUAACUACGUGCCAGCAGCCGCGGUAAUACGUAGGCAGCAAGCGUUGUUCGGAGUUACUGGGCGUAAAGAGUGCGUAGGCGGUUUUCUAAGUUCGGUGUGAAAUCUCCCGGCUUAACUGGGAGGGUGCGCCGAAGACUGGGAAGCUGGAGUGUGGGAAAGGCAGGCGGAAUUCCUGGUGUAGCGGUGAAAUGCGUAGAUAUCAGGAGGAACACCGGCGGUGUAGACGGCUUGCUAGACCAUAACUGACGCUGAGGCACGAAAGCGUGGGUAGCAAACA